AGGUAUACCUCGCAUAAAACCCUCAAACAUAAACACACACAAUCACACACUCCCCAUACAUAUAGUAGAAGAAGAUACAGAAGAAUCCAAUUAUUUUUAUUAUUAUUUGUAUAUGUGAAAAAAAUGUUCAAGAGGUUUUCAUGGAUUAAAACAUUAACAUCUACAGGUCUCGUUUCAGCCGUUUCCUACUGGUAUGGAUAUAAAACCGGCAGAGAAAAAUCUCGGCAGGAAAUACUCGAAUUAAUCGAGGGUAUUGUUCGCCGUCGCCAGAAGAAUCUUGAAUCUAAUCCUCCUCCUCCUUCUGACCCUCCUUCACAUUCUUUUUAAUUCCGGUGCUUUAAGAAAUCAACUAACGUCCCGUUCCAUUAUCGUUCUUAGAAGCCAUGUCUGGGUUCUGUUACAAAUUAAGAGAAUUAGCAUGUCUUAAUUUGAGGGCCAUUAUUUAUAUUUAUUAGUAGUAUCUUGUAUUUUUAACUUAACUUCCAAAUAUGCCCUUAUGGGGGGCAGGUAGCUGUAACCUUGAAUUAUGUAUGGAAUAAUAUGAAUAUCUAGUUUGGAUUAGCUCA
This is a long non-coding RNA of Erigeron canadensis, 566 nucleotides long. RefSeq lists it as uncharacterized. The record is from RefSeq and is a predicted model, not a curated record. The transcript has 3 exons. NCBI's taxonomy places the organism in Eukaryota, Viridiplantae, Streptophyta, Magnoliopsida, Asterales, Asteraceae.